AAGAACCCAACACAGCGUCCCCCAAUCACUAGUACUCUAGUAUGGGAGCGCUUAACUGGCGCCCGAGCAGGGACCCACAUUCUUCACGGAAGUAAAGGGAAAUGGUGACGUGUCAAUAAUUCUAUAAAAAUAACUUAUUAAAAAAGCAAGUACAAAUAAAUUGUUCCAAUCCAAUUGGGCAAUUGAUGGCAAAAUUACGAAGUACUUCUGCGAUUUGCAAACAAGUGUUGGUGCACUAGAUAAUUCUAUAACAUAAAAGAAAUCGUGGCUAAAUGGUUGGCAAUACCUAGGUUCAAAUCCGUGCCGAGACGAGUCUUAAAACGAAAAUACGAGAAAUUUGCAGGCAUAAUGGUGGUACGAGAUUGAUUCUCGUAUCGAGGCUCAAAUCCUUGCCGUAAGACAAAUGUAAUAAAAAACAAGAAGCAAUUCUACGAGACGAUUAUUAAUAUUUUCUUAUCUCCACUGGAAACGGUAAAUAGCAGCAGCUUGGAAACAAUGAAAAGCUGA
This is a long non-coding RNA of Drosophila mojavensis, 507 nucleotides long. RefSeq lists it as uncharacterized. The transcript is spliced from 3 exons. Lineage: Eukaryota; Metazoa; Arthropoda; Insecta; Diptera; Drosophilidae. The record is from RefSeq and is a predicted model, not a curated record.